UUCGCUAGAGAUAGCUUAGUGCCUUCGGGAACUCUGAGACAGGUGCUGCAUGGCUGUCGUCAGCUCGUGUUGUGAAAUGUUGGGUUAAGUCCCGCAACGAGCGCAACCCUUAUCCUUUGUUGCCAGCGAGUAAUGUCGGGAACUCAAAGGAGACUGCCGGUGAUAAACCGGAGGAAGGUGGGGAUGACGUCAAGUCAUCAUGGCCCUUACGAGUAGGGCUACACACGUGCUACAAUGGCAUAUACAAAGAGAAGCGAACUCGCGAGAGCAAGCGGACCUCAUAAAGUAUGUCGUAGUCCGGAUUGGAGUCUGCAACUCGACUCCAUGAAGUCGGAAUCGCUAGUAAUCGUAGAUCAGAAUGCUACGGUGAAUACGUUCCCGGGCCUUGUACACACCGCCCGUCACACCAUGGGAGUGGGUUGCAAAAGAAGUAGGUAGCUUAACCUUCGGGAGGGCGCUUACCACUUUGUGAUUCAUGACUGGGGUGAAGUCGUAACAAGGUAACCGUAGGGGAACCUGCGGUUGGAUCACCUCCUUACCUAAAGA
Molecule: ribosomal RNA, 546 nt
Filed under: Ewingella americana
Lineage: Bacteria; Pseudomonadati; Pseudomonadota; Gammaproteobacteria; Enterobacterales; Yersiniaceae
Description: bacterial SSU rRNA
Rfam family: Bacterial small subunit ribosomal RNA
Source: RNAcentral